RNAcentral lists this ribosomal RNA (468 nucleotides) under uncultured bacterium. Its description in RNAcentral is "partial 16S ribosomal RNA". It matches the Rfam family "Bacterial small subunit ribosomal RNA", at positions 28 to 507 of the family's 1533-position model. The record is from RNAcentral.
GACGAACGCUGGCGGCGUGCUUAACACAUGCAAGUCGAACGGAAAGGCCCUGCUUUUGUGGGGUGCUCGAGUGGCGAACGGGUGAGUAACACGUGAGUAACCUGCCCUUGACUUUGGGAUAACUUCAGGAAACUGGGGCUAAUACCGGAUAGGAGCUCCUGCUGCAUGGUGGGGGUUGGAAAGUUUCGGCGGUUGGGGAUGGACUCGCGGCUUAUCAGCUUGUUGGUGGGGUAGUGGCUUACCAAGGCUUUGACGGGUAGCCGGCCUGAGAGGGUGACCGGCCACAUUAGGACUGAGAUACGGCCCAGACUCCUACGGGAGGCAACAGUGGGGAAUAUUGCACAAUGGGCGGAAGCCUGAUGCAACAACGCCGCGUGCGGGAUGACGGCCUUCGGGUUGUAAACCGCUUUCGCCUGUGACGAAGCGUGAGUGACGGUAAUGGGUAAAGAAGCACCGGCUAACUACGUG